This 274-nucleotide ribosomal RNA is filed under the name uncultured bacterium. RNAcentral's name for it is "partial 16S ribosomal RNA". It matches the Rfam family "Archaeal small subunit ribosomal RNA", at positions 473 to 747 of the family's 1478-position model. The record is from RNAcentral.
AAACCAGCACCUCAAGUGGUCAGGAUGAUUAUUGGGCCUAAAGCAUCCGUAGCCUGUUCUGUAAGUUUCCGGUUAAAUCCAUUAGCUCAACUAAUGGGCCGCCGAAAAUACUGCAGAACUAGGGAGUGGGAGAGGUAGACGGUACUCGGUAGGAAGGGGUAAAAUCCUUUGAUCUAUUGAUGACCACCUGUGGCGAAGGCGGUCUACCAGAACACGUUCGACGGUGAGGGAUGAAAGCUGGGGGAGCAAACCGGAUUAGAUACCCCAGUAGUCC